Molecule: ribosomal RNA, 802 nt
Filed under: uncultured bacterium
Lineage: Bacteria
Description: bacterial SSU rRNA
Rfam family: Bacterial small subunit ribosomal RNA
Source: RNAcentral
AGUUUGAUCCUGGCUCAGGAUGAACGCUGGCGGCGUGCCUAACACAUGCAAGUCGAGCGAAGCACUUUGCUUAGAUUCUUCGGAUGAAGAGGAUUGUGACUGAGCGGCGGACGGGUGAGUAACGCGUGGGUAACCUGCCUCGUACAGGGGGAUAACAGUUAGAAAUGACUGCUAAUACCGCAUAAGACCACAGCACCGCAUGGUGCAGGGGUAAAAACUCCGGUGGUAUGAGAUGGACCCGCGUCUGAUUAGCUAGUUGGUAAGGUAACGGCUUACCAAGGCGACGAUCAGUAGCCGACCUGAGAGGGUGACCGGCCACAUUGGGACUGAGACACGGCCCAAACUCCUACGGGAGGCAGCAGUGGGGAAUAUUGCACAAUGGGGGAAACCCUGAUGCAGCGACGCCGCGUGAGCGAAGAAGUAUUUCGGUAUGUAAAGCUCUAUCAGCAGGGAAGAAAAUGACGGUACCUGACUAAGAAGCACCGGCUAAAUACGUGCCAGCAGCCGCGGUAAUACGUAUGGUGCAAGCGUUAUCCGGAUUUACUGGGUGUAAAGGGAGCGUAGACGGAUGGGCAAGUCUGAUGUGAAAACCCGGGGCUCAACCCCGGGACUGCAUUGGAAACUGUUCAUCUAGAGUGCUGGAGAGGUAAGUGGAAUUCCUAGUGUAGCGGUGAAAUGCGUAGAUAUUAGGAGGAACACCAGUGGCGAAGGCGGCUUACUGGACAGUAACUGACGUUGAGGCUCGAAAGCGUGGGGAGCAAACAGGAUUAGAUACCCUGGUAGUCCACGCCGUAAACGAUGA